This is a long non-coding RNA of Physella acuta, 380 nucleotides long. RefSeq lists it as uncharacterized. The record is from RefSeq and is a predicted model, not a curated record. Lineage: Eukaryota; Metazoa; Mollusca; Gastropoda; Physidae.
AAUGGAAUAACGUUGCUAUCAUGUUAGAUAGUCAAGAAUUCAAAGCCCAGCUCUCCGGCCUAAUGUACAAGAACAGAAAGCGCCACCAUCGGUCAUGUCUGAUCACUAUGCUAGAGAUUGGACUGACCAUAGCUUUCUUUGUAAACGCAAAACGCUUUGCAAAGUAUGACACAACCGAGACGCCACUGAACAAUCUUCAAAGCGUGAUUCGACCUCAGUCGUUUUUUAUGCCAAACUCUAAAUACGUUGUUGACUUGUAUGAAAAGGGCCGUGGUCUUACAAUGGACUUGACAAACGCUACAAUGGCGGCCAGCUUAUCACAACUUGAACAGUCCUACAGUCUGUGGAAGAAAUGGAACUUUUGGAAGCAGGAAAAGCAU